Molecule: long non-coding RNA, 554 nt
Organism: Ailuropoda melanoleuca (giant panda)
Lineage: Eukaryota; Metazoa; Chordata; Mammalia; Carnivora; Ursidae
Exons: 2
Source: RefSeq, a predicted model, not a curated record
GGUUUAGUGUCUUCUCUGUUGUGCAAAUGAACUGAGAACUAGAAAAGUCCCUCUGUCUGGAAACUCUGACUUACUGGCGGGCCUACUUGGGGCUCGAGCUUUCAAACAGGAAGUAGCAGCUGCUGUUGGAAGAUCCGACGUCAGGCAGAUGGAUUCCCCAACAGUGGCACCUGCCCUUGUGGUCACCCAGAUACCAACUGCAUAGUGUAGCAAAGAGGCGCUGAGACUCAGUGAAGGACAACCCAACCAGAAUUCCUCGGUGAUGGAUGUUUCAGACCAACUGAAAAGGACAGAAGCAAGAGGAAACGUGAAAUCAUGGACAGCGGAGCAUUAGCUUUCCACCAGGAGGGCUCUACGUCUGUUAUCCGAUACCAGCCACGUGUGACUACUGAGCGCUCUCAGUGGGGCCAGCUUGAAUUGGACUGUGUUGUAAAUGUGAAAGACACACCAGAUCCCGAAGACUGAACGAUCUUGUUAAUUUUUACAAUGCUGACAUGUCAAAGUGAUAAUAUUUUGGAUAUAUUGGAUUAAAUAAAAUAGAAUAUUAAAAUUGA